GGGGAAUUUUGGACAAUGGGCGAAAGCCUGAUCCAGCAAUGCCGCGUGUGUGAAGAAGGCCUUCGGGUUGUAAAGCACUUUUGUCCGGAAAGAAAUCCUUGGCUCUAAUACAGUCGGGGGAUGACGGUACCGGAAGAAUAAGCACCGGCUAACUACGUGCCAGCAGCCGCGGUAAUACGUAGGGUGCAAGCGUUAAUCGGAAUUACUGGGCGUAAAGCGUGCGCAGGCGGUUUGCUAAGACCGAUGUGAAAUCCCCGGGCUCAACCUGGGAACUGCAUUGGUGACUGGCAGGCUAGAGUAUGGCAGAGGGGGGUAGAAUUCCACGUGUAGCAGUGAAAUGCGUAGAGAUGUGGAGGAAUACCGAUGGCGAAGGCAGCCCCCUGGGCCAAUACUGACGCUCAUGCACGAAAGCGUGGGGAGCAAAACAGGAUUAGAUACCCUGGUAGUCCACGCCCUAAACGAUGUCAACUAGUUGUUGGGGAUUCAUUUCCUUAGUAACGUAGCUAAUGCGUGAAGUUGACCGCCUGGGGAGUACGGUCGCAAGAUUAAAA
RNAcentral lists this ribosomal RNA (551 nucleotides) under uncultured bacterium. Its description in RNAcentral is "partial 16S ribosomal RNA". It matches the Rfam family "Bacterial small subunit ribosomal RNA", at positions 356 to 899 of the family's 1533-position model. The record is from RNAcentral.